This 301-nucleotide ribosomal RNA is filed under the name uncultured bacterium. RNAcentral describes it as "partial 16S ribosomal RNA". It matches the Rfam family "Bacterial small subunit ribosomal RNA", at positions 509 to 807 of the family's 1533-position model. The record is from RNAcentral.
CAGUAGCCGCGGUAAUACGGAGGGAGCUAGCGUUGUUCGGAAUUACUGGGCGUAAAGCGCGCGUAGGCGGUUACUCAAGUCAGAGGUGAAAGCCCGGGGCUCAACCCCGGAACUGCCUUUGAAACUAGGUGACUAGAAUCUUGGAGAGGUCAGUGGAAUUCCGAGUGUAGAGGUGAAAUUCGUAGAUAUUCGGAAGAACACCAGUGGCGAAGGCGACUGACUGGACAAGUAUUGACGCUGAGGUGCGAAAGCGUGGGGAGCAAACAGGAUUAGAUACCCCAGUAGUCCCUGUCUCUUAUAC